This 110-nucleotide microRNA precursor is filed under the name Sorghum bicolor (sorghum). Its description in RNAcentral is "MIR5565 microRNA precursor family". It matches the Rfam family "MIR5565 microRNA precursor family". The record is from Rfam by way of RNAcentral. Lineage: Eukaryota; Viridiplantae; Streptophyta; Magnoliopsida; Poales; Poaceae.
GCAGUCGGUUUCACAUCAAUUCACAUGCGUUGGUGUGGGUUGGAGUGGAACUUAAACUAAAUUCCACCUCAAUCCACUCGAACACAUAUGGAUCGAGGUGAAUCCAAACA